UGCCAAUAUGAUAGUGUAACUGUUCAGUAGCAUGUUGGCUAGCAUAAUACCUAAGGUAGCAACAAUAUGACAUCAAAGCAAAACUUAACGUUGGCAAAUGGAUACCCUUCUCCUACCCGUGGUGUUGGAAGAGGCUGUAUUGGGAGGAGGAGGCAUUAUUAACACCCUGGAAAGGUGUUUGUGGUGCACUCACUUUUUUGGAGCGAUAAAUGAAUGUAUCAUAUUUAAGCUUGAUUAAAAGCAAUCCGUUACAAGCCAAAAAUACAGAUUGAGGCCUUCAAUCAAGCUGAGGACAGAGAAAUAUGUGUGUAGCAGGUCAAAGCUUCUCGUGUGCAUGGCUUUGAGAUUGCAUGAUUUCAACAAGCUUUAGACGAAGGACUUCCACAGGGCCGCCAUCUCCAAAGUUCACUCAAAAAUGCAACAGUUGUGUACUUGGUUUGUUUUGUAUUUUGUUGUUUGAAUAAUUUUUUUCAACUCCAAUUGGUCGAAAGCUAAUGCUCAGUUAUCACUUGGCCCAUGUACAUUUUUGUAACGGCUGUCGUCGGAAUGAGACCAAAGCGCAGCAUGGAAAGUGUUCAUGAUGUCUUAUUUUCACCAAAAAACACGCAAACAAAAAUGAAACGAAAGCGCACAGUUCUGUCAGGUACAGAAUACGAAACAGAAAACAACUAACCACAGAACACAGGUGGGAAAAGGCUGCCUAAGUAUGAUUCCCAAUCAGAGACAACGAUAGACAGCUGCCUCUGAUUAGGAACCACACUCGCUAAAAACAAAGAAAUAGACAACAUAGAAUGCCCACCCCACAUCACACCCUGACCUAACCAAAUAGAGAAAUAAAACAGCUCUCUAAGGUCAGGGCGUGACAAUUUUGUAGUUCCCCC
Molecule: long non-coding RNA, 881 nt
Filed under: Salmo salar (Atlantic salmon)
Lineage: Eukaryota; Metazoa; Chordata; Actinopteri; Salmoniformes; Salmonidae
Description: lncRNA (ENSSSAG00000089215.1)
Source: RNAcentral